AACGCGAAGAACCUUACCCAGGCUCGAAAUGUAAUGGGCGAUAUCAGAGAUGAUAUUUUCCGCAAGGACUAUUAUAUAGGUGCUGCAUGGCUGUCGUCAGCUCGUGCCGUGAGGUGUUGGGUUAAGUCCCGCAACGAGCGCAACCCUUAUCAUUAGUUGCCAACACGCGAGGUGGGGACUCUAAUGAGACUGCCUGGGUUAACCAGGAGGAAGGUGAGGAUGACGUCAAGUCCGCAUGGCCUUUAUGUCUGGGGCUACACACGUGCUACAAUGGUCGGUACAGAAGGCAGCAAGACCGUAAGGUGGAGCAAAUCCGUAAAGCCGAUCACAGUUCGGAUUGUAGUCUGCAACUCGGCUACAUGAAGUUGGAAUUGCUAGUAAUGACGUGUCAGCAACAACGUCGUGAAUACGUUCCCGGGCCUUGUA
This 426-nucleotide ribosomal RNA is filed under the name uncultured Chlamydiae bacterium. RNAcentral describes it as "bacterial SSU rRNA". It matches the Rfam family "Bacterial small subunit ribosomal RNA", at positions 958 to 1385 of the family's 1533-position model. Lineage: Bacteria; Pseudomonadati; Chlamydiota; Chlamydiia. The record is from RNAcentral.